RNAcentral lists this long non-coding RNA (365 nucleotides) under Mustela putorius furo (domestic ferret). RNAcentral's name for it is "lncRNA (ENSMPUG00000031717.1)". The record is from RNAcentral. Lineage: Eukaryota; Metazoa; Chordata; Mammalia; Carnivora; Mustelidae.
CCCUGCCCUACUUUUCCCACAGAAAACCCAAUGAAGGUUGUGGCCUUGGCCUUCUCUUGCUUCUUUUUGUCUCCUGGCUGACAGUGAUGCUUUCUGCGUGGCAUGCGGUGCCUCUUGUCUCUUGGAAGAUGAGACAAAGAGCACAAGCAGGGAGAGCAGCAGGCAGAGGGAAAAGCAGACCCCCAGUGAGCGGGGGUUGAUCCUGGGAUUCUGGGAUUGUGACCUGAGCCGAAAACAGACGCUUAACCGACUGAGCCACCCAGGUACGCUAUCUACUGAUUUUCCACCCUUCAGUGGUCCAGGGCUCUUCUGGCAGUGCCAUGUCUCGGCACUUCCAGCUUACCUACGCUUAGGCACAAGUGCAC